RNAcentral lists this long non-coding RNA (315 nucleotides) under Erythranthe guttata (spotted monkey flower). RNAcentral describes it as "long non-coding RNA (EGUT_LNC001619)". Lineage: Eukaryota; Viridiplantae; Streptophyta; Magnoliopsida; Lamiales; Phrymaceae. The record is from RNAcentral.
AAAAAUGUAAUACAAGUAUAAUAGAAGGGGCCAAAAUGAAAAUCACAGCAAGAAAACGUUGGACUGUCAUCCAUACUUCCCUUCAUCGGCUUUAAUCCAAAAACUCUGAUAAACCUUUCUUCCCUGUGAAUAAAGCGGUGAUAAUACCAUCGUUGUUGAAGAGAGAGAGAGCUCGAAGGAAAUUUCCAUGGCCGAACACUCCGAUGAUUUAGACCAACUCCUUGACAGUAAGAGAGCCUCUCUCUCUCUCUCUCUCUCUCUCUCUCUCUCUCUCUCUCUCUCUCUCUCUCUCUCUCUCUCUCUCUCUCUCUAGAU